Molecule: ribosomal RNA, 484 nt
Filed under: uncultured bacterium
Lineage: Bacteria
Description: partial 16S ribosomal RNA
Rfam family: Bacterial small subunit ribosomal RNA
Source: RNAcentral
AUUGAACGCUGGCGGCAUGCCUUACACAUGCAAGUCGAACGGCAGCGCGGGAGCAAUCCUGGCGGCGAGUGGCGAACGGGUGAGUAAUACAUCGGAACGUGCCCAAUCGUGGGGGAUAACGCAGCGAAAGCUGUGCUAAUACCGCAUACGAUCUACGGAUGAAAGCAGGGGAUCGCAAGACCUUGCGCGAAUGGAGCGGCCGAUGGCAGAUUAGGUAGUUGGUGAGGUAAAGGCUCACCAAGCCUUCGAUCUGUAGCUGGUCUGAGAGGACGACCAGCCACACUGGGACUGAGACACGGCCCAGACUCCUACGGGAGGCAGCAGUGGGGAAUUUUGGACAAUGGGCGAAAGCCUGAUCCAGCCAUGCCGCGUGCAGGAUGAAGGCCUUCGGGUUGUAAACUGCUUUUGUACGGAACGAAACAGUCUUUUCUAAUAAAGAAGGCUAAUGACGGUACCGUAAGAAUAAGCACCGGCUAACUACGUG